GUGAGGAAUAUUGGUCAAUGGGCGCAAGCCUGAACCAGCCAUGCCGCGUGCAGGAAGACGGUCCUAUGGAUUGUAAACUGCUUUUAUUUGGGAAUAAACCUCCUUACGUGUAGGGAGCUGAAGGUACCAAAUGAAUAAGCACCGGCUAACUCCGUGCCAGCAGCCGCGGUAAUACGGAGGGUGCAAGCGUUAUCCGGAAUCAUUGGGUUUAAAGGGUCCGCAGGCGGUCAUAUAAGUCAGUGGUGAAAGCCUACAGCUCAACUGUAGAACUGCCAUUGAUACUGUAUGACUUGAAUUCGAUCGAAGUGGGCGGAAUGUGACAUGUAGCGGUGAAAUGCUUAGAUAUGUCACAGAACACCGAUAGCGAAGGCAGCUCACUAGGUCUGGAUUGACGCUCAGGGACGAAAGCGUGGGGAGCAAACAGGAUUAGAAACCCCGGUAGUCC
RNAcentral lists this ribosomal RNA (445 nucleotides) under uncultured bacterium. RNAcentral describes it as "partial 16S ribosomal RNA". It matches the Rfam family "Bacterial small subunit ribosomal RNA", at positions 354 to 796 of the family's 1533-position model. The record is from RNAcentral.